RNAcentral lists this ribosomal RNA (433 nucleotides) under uncultured bacterium. RNAcentral describes it as "partial 16S ribosomal RNA". It matches the Rfam family "Bacterial small subunit ribosomal RNA", at positions 29 to 507 of the family's 1533-position model. The record is from RNAcentral.
AACGAACGCUGGCGGCAUGCCUAACACAUGCAAGUCGAACGAGACCUUCGGGUCUAGUGGCGCACGGGUGCGUAACGCGUGGGAACCUGCCCUUAGGUUCGGAAUAACUCCCCGAAAGGGGUGCUAAUACCGGAUAAUGUCUUCGGACCAAAGAUUUAUCGCCUUUGGAUGGGCCCGCGUUGGUUUAGCUAGUUGGUAGGGUAAAAGCCUACCAAGGCGACGAUCCAUAGCUGGUCUGAGAGGAUGAUCAGCCACACUGGGACUGAGACACGGCCCAGACUCCUACGGGAAGGAGCAGUGGGGAAUAUUGGACAAUGGGCGAAAGCCUGAUCCAGCAAUGCCGCGUGAGUGAUGAAGGCCUUAGGGUUGUAAAGCUCUUUUACCCGGGAUGAUAAUGACAGUACCGGGAGAAUAAGCUCCGGCUAACUCCGUG